This 302-nucleotide long non-coding RNA is filed under the name Ixodes scapularis (black-legged tick). RNAcentral describes it as "uncharacterized LOC115319639". Lineage: Eukaryota; Metazoa; Arthropoda; Arachnida; Ixodida; Ixodidae. The record is from RNAcentral.
AAGGAAAGUUGACAUUCAGGAAUCUUCACCUUGCUGAGUGCAUCAUAAAUGCAGUGCGGAGCUGCCAUAAAUGUGAAGACUUCAGGGUAGAAACCAUAGUCACGGAUUAACUUCGCCAUGCACCUGCCUGACAUCAGUCAUCUCAAAAGGAACAUUCUGCACCACAGGAGAGAGUGAUGUGAACUGCCUAAAGUGGGCCUUGAAUGCACUGAGCUUUUUAUUAUGUUUAUCAGAAAUUUUUAUUAAGCAAAGUAUCCUGCAUUGUUCAGUAAGUAUACUUUAUUUCGAAAACCUUAUGCUAU